GGGAGCUUGCUCCUUGAUUCAGCGGCGGACGGGUGAGUAAUGCCUAGGAAUCUGCCUGGUAGUGGGGGACAACGUUUCGAAAGGAACGCUAAUACCGCAUACGUCCUACGGGAGAAAGCAGGGGACCUUCGGGCCUUGCGCUAUCAGAUGAGCCUAGGUCGGAUUAGCUAGUUGGUGAGGUAAUGGCUCACCAAGGCGACGAUCCGUAACUGGUCUGAGAGGAUGAUCAGUCACACUGGAACUGAGACACGGUCCAGACUCCUACGGGAGGCAGCAGUGGGGAAUAUUGGACAAUGGGCGAAAGCCUGAUCCAGCCAUGCCGCGUGUGUGAAGAAGGUCUUCGGAUUGUAAAGCACUUUAAGUUGGGAGGAAGGGCAGUAAGCUAAUACCUUGCUGUUUUGACGUUACCGACAGAAUAAGCACCGGCUAACUCUGUGCCAGCAGCCGCGGUAAUACAGAGGGUGCAAGCGUUAAUCGGAAUUACUGGGCGUAAAGCGCGCGUAGGUGGUUCGUUAAGUUGGAUGUGAAAGCCCCGGGCUCAACCUGGGAACUGCAUCCAAAACUGGCGAGCUAGAGUACGGUAGAGGGUGGUGGAAUUUCCUGUGUAGCGGUGAAAUGCGUA
RNAcentral lists this ribosomal RNA (622 nucleotides) under Citrobacter sp. Its description in RNAcentral is "bacterial SSU rRNA". It matches the Rfam family "Bacterial small subunit ribosomal RNA", at positions 74 to 692 of the family's 1533-position model. The record is from RNAcentral. Lineage: Bacteria; Pseudomonadati; Pseudomonadota; Gammaproteobacteria; Enterobacterales; Enterobacteriaceae.